AGAGUUUGAUCAUGGCUCAGAACGAACGCUGGCGGCAUGCCUAACACAUGCAAGUCGAACGCCUGUAGCAAUACAGGAGUGGCAGACGGGUGCAAAACGCGUGGAAACCUAUCCUUGGGUUCGGAAUAACCGCGGGAAACUGCGGCUAAUACCGGAUACGUCCUUCGGGAGAAAGAUUUAUCGCCCAUUGAGGGGUCCGCGUCUGAUUAGCUAGUUGGUGAGGUAAUGGCUCACCAAGGCGACGAUCAGUAGCUGGUCUGAGAGGAUGAUCAGCCACACUGGAACUGAGACACGGUCCAGACUCCUACGGGAGGCAGCAGUGGGGAAUAUUGGACAAUGGGCGCAAGCCUGAUCCAGCAAUGCCGCGUGGGUGAUGAAGGCCUUCGGGUUGUAAAGCCCUUUUGGCGGGGACGAUGAUGACGGUACCCGCCGAAUAAGCUCCGGCUAACUUCGUG
RNAcentral lists this ribosomal RNA (455 nucleotides) under uncultured bacterium. Its description in RNAcentral is "bacterial SSU rRNA". It matches the Rfam family "Bacterial small subunit ribosomal RNA", at positions 8 to 507 of the family's 1533-position model. The record is from RNAcentral.